UCUGCCUCAGAACAAAAACACCUAACAGGAGCCUCUACUCCUUCACCUGGGAUGGAAAGAAAAUGAGCCCCACACAGGAUUAAUAGGAACAUGGAUCAGCCCCAGCUGACGAUGCAAGCAUUGUACUGAUGCAGCUGCCUAUAGGGUUGGGCAGUCCUUCAGCUUGUGGAGAUGCCAAUCCCCCGCCAAGCCUCCAAUAUAACCAACACCUGCAGUGACCAGUGUGCAUCUGUCUUGCUGCUGUGCUGUGAGGCUGUCAGCUCAAUUCUUGUCCCUGCCUCCUUCUCCACUGCAAGCUGCUGGACCAGCAUAUUUGUCACAUAUAGGAACAGCUGUAUCUGUGAUUCUACUGUCUGUCACUACAGUUCUCAAAGGCACAGGGGUCUUGCUGGAAUAAGAGAG
Molecule: long non-coding RNA, 402 nt
Organism: Gekko japonicus
Lineage: Eukaryota; Metazoa; Chordata; Lepidosauria; Squamata; Gekkonidae
Exons: 3
Source: RefSeq, a predicted model, not a curated record